GACGAACGCUGGCGGCGUGCCUAAUACAUGCAAGUAGAACGCUGAAGAGAGGAGCUUACUCUUCUUGGAUGAGUUGCGAACGGGUGAGUAACGCGUAGGUAACCUGCCUUGUAGCGGGGGAUAACUAUUGGAAACGAUAGCUAAUACCGCAUAACAAUGGAUGACACAUGUCAUUUAUUUGAAAGGGGCAAUUGCUCCACUACAAGAUGGACCUGCGUUGUAUUAGCUAGUAGGUGAGGUAAUGGCUCACCUAGGCGACGAUACAUAGCCGACCUGAGAGGGUGAUCGGCCACACUGGGACUGAGACACGGCCCAGACUCCUACGGGAGGCAGCAGUAGGGAAUCUUCGGCAAUGGGGGCAACCCUGACCGAGCAACGCCGCGUGAGUGAAGAAGGGUUUCGGAUCGUAAAGCUCUGUUGUAAGUCAAGAACGGGUGUGAGAGUGGAAAGUUCACACUGUGACGGUAGCUUACCAGAAAGAGACGGCUAACUACGUG
Molecule: ribosomal RNA, 497 nt
Filed under: uncultured bacterium
Lineage: Bacteria
Description: partial 16S ribosomal RNA
Rfam family: Bacterial small subunit ribosomal RNA
Source: RNAcentral